CCCUUAGAGUUUGAUCCUGGCUCAGAAUGAACGCUGGCGGCGUGCUUAACACAUGCAAGUCGUGCGCGAAGGGGGCUUCGGUCUCCGGAGAGCGGCGAACGGGUGAGUAGCACGUGGGUAAUCUGCCUGGGAGUGGGGGAUAACCUGGGGAAACUCGGGCUAACACCGCAUACGUUGAUGGGAUUACGGUCCUGUCAGGAAAACUGGCCUCUGCUUGCAAGCUAGUGCUCCCAGAGGAGCCCGCGGCUGAUUAGCUAGUUGGUGGGGUAAAGGCUCACCAAGGCUUCGAUCAGUAGCCGGCCUGAGAGGGUGAUCGGCCACACUGGGACUGAGACACGGCCCAGACUCCUACGGGAGGCAGCAGUGGGGAAUAUUGGACAAUGGGCGCAAGCCUGAUCCAGCAACGCCGCGUGGAGGAUGAAGGUCUUCGGAUCGUAAACUCCUGUCAGAUGGGACGAAGGUAGCGGGGUAAAUAAUCCUGCUGCUUGACGGUACCAUCAGAGGAAGCCCCGGCUAACUCCGUGCCAGCAGCCGCGGUAAUACGGAGGGGGCGAGCGUUAUUCGGAAUUAUUGGGCGUAAAGGGCGCGUAGGCGGCCCGGUAAGUCAAAGGUGAAAUCCCUCGGCUCAACUGAGGAACUGCCUUUGAAACUGUCGGGCUUGAGGCCGGGAGGGGGUAGCGGAAUUCCCAGUGUAGCGGUGAAAUGCGUAGAUAUUGGGAGGAACACCAGUGGCGAAGGCGGCUACCUGGACCGGUUCUGACGCUGAUGCGCGAAAGCGUGGGUAGCAAACAGAUAGAUACCCUGGUAGUCCACGCUGUAAACGAUGGGUGCUCGGUGUCGCGGGUAUCGACCCCUGCGGUGCUUAGCUACGCGUAAGCACCCGCCUGGGGAGUACGGUCGCAAGCUGAACUCAAAGGAUUGA
This 922-nucleotide ribosomal RNA is filed under the name uncultured bacterium. RNAcentral describes it as "bacterial SSU rRNA". It matches the Rfam family "Bacterial small subunit ribosomal RNA", at positions 1 to 913 of the family's 1533-position model. The record is from RNAcentral.